GCACAAAAUGAACUCAACUUUUAUUUCUCGUUUUUUCUGCUUUUGCUUUUAUUUGCAUUUAUUUUAUGCUGAAUAUAUUCCCAGGCCACUUUUUUGUUUGUUUGUUUUUUCAGUUUCUUCCAGGAUAUCUUUUUCUUCUGUGCCACCUCCUCUUCUGUUUUAGGAGCAAUCUGCUCAUUUUCAAGAAUGAUCAUCUCAGGAGUUCCUGUUGCGGCGCAGAAGAAACGAAUCCAGCUAGGAACCAUGAGGUUGCAGGUUCGAUCCAUGAGGUUGCAGGUUCGAUCCCUGGCCUUCUUCAGGGGGUUAAGGAUCUGGUGUUGCCAUGAGCUGUGGUGUAGGUCACUGCUGAGGGGCAGAUUCAAUCCCUGGCCUGCCCUGGAACUUCCGCAUGCCGCAGGUGCAGCCAAAAAAAAUAAAGAAUCAUAAAAUGACAUUCAAUGUGGAAUUAGAGUGCAUUUUAAUAUGUUUCAUGUGAUUUGGACGGGGCCUCCCAAAUUAAGUGCAUCAAGGGCCAAAAGUGGUUUUAUUUAAAAGGCCUGUAAACCUCCGAACCAGACAGACAAGGUCUCAGUCUCAGGAAAUUUCUAAUCAAAGAACACGCUGACCUUCUCAGCAAAAGUAGGAACGAGUAAAGUGGAUCAGAUCUGAGUCUGGAGCUCGCUGAGGACCCCUGGCUUCUCUCCCAACCCCCUGACUAAAAACUGAGAGUUUUUACAGAGAAAAAACUCUCUCCUGUGUCACACCCAUCCCCAGCCUGGUGACUCAGCGCUGGACAUGGGGAUUUUGGAAAGCUCAGUGGGGUGAUGGAGCGGGGAAAGACGGGGUAGAGGUGAUGCUCUCUCUGCUCUCAGGACCAGCCUGGGGUGGGGGUAGGGAGCAGCAGGACAGACAUAGGGAGGGAAAGAGACAAAUUGUCCCCAGAUGACAUUUUGAGACAGCAGAACAAAAUGUGUUUGGCUCUUCCCUACCCUCUCCCUCUUUUAAAGAGAAAUAGGACUCAGCCCUUGAAAGGGACCAUCUGGGCGUCUAAGUCACAGGUGCGAAGGUUUUAGGACUGGGAGGUGAGCAAUUCAGCACCUCCCCCCUCCUCCCCGUCUGCCUCCCCUCCCCAUCCAGCGGAGGAAAGGCAGGGAGGACCUGGGGGAAGCCGCGCUGGAAUCUCCUGCGUGCCCGCGCGUGCCCACUCCCCUAGUACUGUCUCUAUUCCCAGCCACUGGGGUGAGAAUUGGCACAAUGACACGCCAUAAAGUCCAAUCUAUCGAACCCAAUUGAAUUGAAAGGCACGGUGGAGUCAGAUGAGGGGUCUGAUUUCCUCCCCCUCAUGUUUGUUCUCAGCCCGCUGUGUGGCCUUGAGCAACGGCUGCCGCCUCUGAGCUGUUUCCGCAUUUGUACAGAGAGCGCCAGAAAACUUGGUCUGCGGGGACAUUAUGCAGACCCAGUGAACUGAAAUCGGCAAGGCAUUUAGCUCUGGGCCGGGCCUUUUUAAUUCUUACCCUUUGGCUGCAGUGGUGGGAAAGCAAAUGUUUGCCAGGUAGGGGGAGGUGGGUGGAGCUGAUGGUGGCCCCUCGCCAGCCAGAGAGGACUUUGAGCUUGCCCCGGAGUGCCAGGAGGGAGCCACUGAAGGUUCUGCAGCGAGGGAGGGGGCCAGAUCCCGGGAGGGGCCGGGAUCCUCGGCCCUCACCCAGAUCCAAAACCCCGCCUCUGGUGUUCUCUCUUCCUCCAAUGCACCCCCUCCCACAGCCCAGGGCCACAGCUCUGCUCCCACCAAGACCGAGUCUGGGAGAACAGCAGAGUGAGCCCCAGGACAAAGCCUAACUAAGGCUAUGCCUGAGCCCGGGCUUGAACCCCUACUCUGAGCCCCCCUCACUGGGUGUUUUGGAUUCCUCUGGGCCUCAGCCUUCUCCCUGCAAAGUGGGGCGACAACAGCGACCUCACGGGGUGGUGGGGAUGGUUAGUUGAGAUAAUAUGUAAAAGCACCUGGCGGCAUGCCUGCUGUACAGGUGGAGUUCAGUGUACGGUGCCAUUAACUGAGAAAGCGGACAGGGGAUCCAAAGGGAGAGAAUGAGGAUCAGAGACGGGGAAGAAUGACACACGGGCCCUUUGCCUCUCUGGAUGGUCCACCUGCAGCCAAGGAAAAAGCCCUUUGGGAGGAGGGGGUGAUUGGGGGGGCAGCUAUUGGGUAAGAGAGGAGGUCAUCCCUGGCCCGCUUCCCUCCUCUACUUCUACCUCCCGCCCAGCUUGGUCACCCAGUUUAGGGUGACAGGGCUGGGCAUGGUGGACCAGCAGCAAUCCUCCAGAUUCCAGAACUGGGCCUCCUGCAAAAGGUGGGUGAGGGUGUAAGGUGCUUCCAGGUGAUAAGAGAGCUGCAGGUGUCGGGCCAUGGGAGCUGGGAUUCCCCAUCCAUCACCCAUCAGGGCCCCAAGCCCAGCCCACCAGGCUUAACUGGAAGCCCGAGGCUGCUCCAUUUGCAGUGUGGGUCUGCGUGCAAGAAAGCUGGUAACACUGGCUGAGACCGGUUCACUCUCACCCACAGGCCAGCUGGGCCCUCCCCAGUGGCUGGGCACCUGAGCAGGUGUGUGUGUGGGGGGGCCUACAAGCUGUCACUUCUAAAUAUAGAGCCUGGCAGCCUGGGAGUCAGCCAGGUGCGGCUGCCACAUGGCCCCCCAAACUGGCUGAUACGCAUGUGCCCGCCAGUUCUGGGCCUGCACAGACACACAUCAAAACUGCCUCGCACAGACCCCCAGGGACCCACGGAUACCCCCAAAGACACACACUCAGCUUGGCAUGUACACGUCCCUGUCCUUGUUGAGGCCCCUUAUCCACACACACCCUCUCCCCACACUCAUACUCUGCAACGCUCACUGACACCGACCGGGCAGCCCCUGCUUGAACAACAGCCUCCUGAGGGCGGCAUCCCCCGUUCUUGUCCACUGCUGUCUCCUCUGCCUGUAACCGUGUCCAGCACAUACCAGGUGCCCAGAAACGUUUGCUCUCUGAAUGAAUGCACACACACACUCACACACACACACAUUCUGUAAUAAUUACCCCCACUCUCACCUGAUCCCUGCCCCCCUGUGCUGGGUCUACUAGGCCCUACCAAGGACAAGACCAGAAGGCCUGUCCUCCUCUGGCCUGGCCAAUCCCCCAUAGCCAGAGUCCAAGCCAGGCUGAGGACCUGAGCGGGAGGGUGGAGAGGGCAGCCCAGGGAAAGAAGUAGCUUCGAACCCCUAUUUAGGAGGAUGUGGGAAUCAUUGUUUGCUACAGGACAAACCUCCCUGGAGGAGCCACCGCACCACGCUGGAGUUCUGGGUUGGGCCACAUCCCCAGAAAUCCACCAGGGGAGGGGAACACGUGACCCCUAUAAGGCCCUCCCCAGCCCCCUCCUCUGAAGGAGUGCCCCAUUUUAGGUGAUACCACCCCAUCUAGGAGCCCUCAGCUCUGCCCCCAUAGUGCUUGGGCUGGGCUUCCCACAGCCUGCACAUGGAUGUAACAGAGUGACACUUCAGGGGGAGUUCCCAUUGUAGCUCCGUAGGUUAAGAACCUGAUUAGUAUCCAUGAGGGUACAGGUUCAAUCCCCAGCCUCGCUCAGUUCACAGAUGUGGCUUGGAUCCGGUGUUACUCUGGCUGUGGCUGGCAGGUGCAGCUCCGAUUCAACCCCUAGGCUGGAAACUUCCAUAUGCUAAGGUGUGCCCUAAAAAGAAAAAAAAAAAGAAAAGGAAAAAAAUAAAAAAGAGUGAUGCCUGGGGACACAGGAGCAGAGGGGGGUGGUGGUCAGGGAGGACUCCCUGGAGGAGAGGAGCCUUGUACAGUGAGAGACAGGAGGGCCUUCUGGGAAGAUGGCUGGAAGAGGCAUCUGAGCAUCUCUGACUCCAGGACUGCUGAGGGAGCACCGUGACUGUGCUGGGACCUCACAAUUCCCAUGAGAUGAAGCGGAGGCUGAUUGGGCAGGCUGAGCACCAGGGAUGAGGAGGGGAUGCUGUGACCCCAGAGCGACUGAAGGUCGGGUGAGAUUUAUAGUCAGAGCCUGCAUCAGUAGACUGGAGAAGAAGGUGACUGAGGGGGGCAAGCUGAUAAAGGAGAGGACUAGGGACAGCACUAAGGACAGAUGAGUGGCCAAUGGAUGGACAUAUGCAUAGACUAGCAGAUGGACUGAAAGACACAGGAGCAUGAAUAGACAAAUGGAAAGACAGAAGUGGGUGGCUGGCCACUGGGGUCACUCUCUGAAGCCCCACAAGAGCCUGAAGACCCAGCUACUUCCCCUGCAGACCACUCCCACCCCAGCUCCAUUCCCUGUCUCCUUUCCCAGACCAGGUUCCCAGGGAGGCAGACACCUGCUUGGCCUGAUGCCCAGAGAUGCACUUUCCAGCCAAGUACAAGCCCAGAUAUGGAGUCACCUCCUGGUGUUCUUACCUGUGCAGGUGUGCAUAGGAUGGGGUGGGGUCAGCGCCAUAUCUAUGGGCUAAUACCUCCAAAAAUAGCCUCCCAGCAACUGGGGAGUACCCCAAUCAUGGCUCACGUGCGCGCACACACACACACACACACACACACACACACACACAGCCGCUGGCAGAAUCAACCCCAUAGACACUUGAUGCACACACAGGUGCAUUCACUGACACACUGGCACCCAAACACCAGUCCCCCAAACACCACAACUACCAAACUGCAUAGCAACAGAAUGAGCCAACCACAUGGUCUACAAUGUAUGGGGCCACCUGGCCCCUCAGAUACACCCCAACACCAUGCUGUCAUUAAUCUACAAAUGUGCAUUGAACAGCUUCUGGACCCAACCCUAUGGGAUUUCGGAGCACCUUCAAUAGCUCUUCCCAGAGAAAGCUGGACCCACAGGGUCCUUCAUGCUUCACCCUCCAACCCUGCCUCCUACCCUAGCACCUCACAUUUGCCCUCCAUCCAGCAACAUCUGACACCUUAGGGGGGUUCUCUCCUUUUCAUAUGCUUGGAUCCACAUUAUUCCUGCAACUAGGAACCCUUUCCCCAUUUCACUCCUGAACCCCACAUACCAGACCUAUCAUUCAAGACAGAUCUCUGCAUACCUAAAGUUUAACAGUGGGACACACAACAGGGCCUAAAUGUUUGUUGACUGACUGACCAACUUACCAGCUGGGUGAAAUCAUUAGGAAUAUAAAUCAGCUAAGAAUAGUGCAUAAUUAAAGUUCCCAUCAUGGCUCGGUGGUUAACAAACCCGACUAGUAGCCAUGAAGACGCGGGUUCAAUCCCUGGCCUUGCUCAGUGGGUUAAGGAUCCUACAUUGCUGUGAGCUGUGGUGUAGCUCACAGACAUGGCUCGGAUCCCUAGUAGUUGUGGCUGUGGUGCAGGCCGGCAGCUGUAGCUCCAAUUCGACCCCUUAGCCUGGGAACUUCCAUAUGCUGCAGGUAUGGUGCUAAAAAGACAAAAAAAAAAAAAAAAA
RNAcentral lists this long non-coding RNA (5428 nucleotides) under Sus scrofa (pig). RNAcentral's name for it is "lncRNA (ENSSSCG00050027124.1)". The record is from RNAcentral. Lineage: Eukaryota; Metazoa; Chordata; Mammalia; Artiodactyla; Suidae.